CAGAGCCCAAGAUGGUAAUCUCCGUUCGCGGCGAAUUGUAAUCUUGAGAGGUCAAGCUCACCGGGUGGUGGCGCAGAAGUGCCCUGGAACGGGCCGCCAUAGAGGGUGAUAGCCCCGUACGUGGUGCCGCUACCUAACGAGCUGGCUUUCGAAGAGUCGGGUUGUUUGGUAUUGCAGCCCUAAGUGGGAGAUAAACUUCUUCUAAGGCUAAAUAUAUGUGGGAAACCGAUAGCGAACAAGUACUGUGAAGGAAAGAUGAAAAGCACUUUGGAAAGAGAGUUAAAAGACCUGAAACCGUUGAGGAGGAAGCGGUAGAGAUGAAUUCUACGGCGAAGCGCUGGGAAGUCGGCCUAACUAAACUGGAUUUGUCGUACGUCAAAGGCGGCGGUUUAGUUGUAGGGAAGCCGGCCACUUGUGCGGCGUCGUGAGGCCGGAUGGGGCGACGUGAUCACAGAGGCCUGUCAGACUUGGCUUGCUUCGGUGAGCAGUCUGGGAGUGCCGGUGGCUGCGUGGCUUGAGAGAGCUUUGUGCGAUCCGGUCAAAAUGGUCUUUACCGACCCGUCUUGAAACACGGACCAAGGAGUCUAACGUACACGCGAGUGUGCCGGUGGAGAAACCGUCACGCGAAAUGAAGGUGAGUGAUGCCAAGCGCAAGCAGCAGCAUCGGCCGACCAUGACCCUCUGGGGAAAGGUUUGAGUAUGAGCGUGUCCGCUAGGACCCGAAAGAUGGUGAACUAUGCCUGCGUAGGGUGAAGCCA
RNAcentral lists this ribosomal RNA (758 nucleotides) under Strombidium pseudostylifer. RNAcentral describes it as "partial large subunit ribosomal RNA". It matches the Rfam family "Eukaryotic large subunit ribosomal RNA", at positions 103 to 854 of the family's 3401-position model. Lineage: Eukaryota; Ciliophora; Spirotrichea; Strombidiidae. The record is from RNAcentral.